GGGCCCAUAGCUUAGCCUGGUAGAGCGGUUGGCUCUUAACCAACAGGUCCAGGGUUCGAAUCCCUGUGGGCCCA
This 74-nucleotide transfer RNA is filed under the name Candidatus Woesearchaeota archaeon. RNAcentral describes it as "tRNA-Lys". It matches the Rfam family "tRNA". Rfam says of the family: Transfer RNA (tRNA) molecules are approximately 80 nucleotides in length. Their secondary structure includes four short double-helical elements and three loops (D, anti-codon, and T loops). The record is from RNAcentral. Lineage: Archaea; Nanobdellati; Candidatus Woesearchaeota.